RNAcentral lists this ribosomal RNA (443 nucleotides) under uncultured bacterium. RNAcentral describes it as "partial 16S ribosomal RNA". It matches the Rfam family "Bacterial small subunit ribosomal RNA", at positions 339 to 795 of the family's 1533-position model. The record is from RNAcentral.
CUACGGGGCGCACCAGUGGGGAAUAUUGCACAAUGGGCGCAAGCCUGAUGCAGCAACGCCGCGUGAGGGAUGAAGGCCUUCGGGUUGUAAACCUCUUUUAGCAGGGAAGAAGCGAAAGUGACGGUACCUGCAGAAAAAGCACCGGCUAACUACGUGCCAGCAGCCGCGGUAAUACGUAGGGUGCAAGCGUUGUCCGGAAUUAUGGGCGUAAAGAGCUCGUAGGCGGUUUGUCACGUCUGCUGUGAAAAUCCAAGGCUCAACCUUGGACUUGCAGUGGGUACGGGCAGGCUAGAGUGCGGAAGGGGAGAGGGGAAUUCCUGGUGUAGCGGUGGAAUGCGCAGAUAUCAGGAGGAACACCAAUGGCGAAGGCACAUCUCUGGGCCGUAACUGACGCUGAGGAGCGAAAGCGUGGGGAGCGAACAGGAUUAGAUACCCGAGUAGUC